AUCAGCUAAAAUCCAUCAAAAAUAAGUUAUAUUAAAAGAUUUAAUUUCAUUAUUUAUCAAGUAAAUAAACCAAUAUUAGUUUAGAGCGAAUAAAUCCAAAAGAUAAUACCAAAUCCAUAUUCAUAAUUCAUUAGUAGUUGAUUACAAAUCCAUAAUAAUCCUAUAAAUUUAAUUUUAACUGUAAAUUUUUAUACUCACUGGCAU
RNAcentral lists this long non-coding RNA (204 nucleotides) under Elaeis guineensis (African oil palm). RNAcentral describes it as "long non-coding RNA (EGUI_LNC000195)". The record is from RNAcentral. Lineage: Eukaryota; Viridiplantae; Streptophyta; Magnoliopsida; Arecales; Arecaceae.